RNAcentral lists this long non-coding RNA (521 nucleotides) under Homo sapiens (human). Its description in RNAcentral is "STIM2 antisense RNA 1, transcript variant 3 (STIM2-AS1)". The record is from RNAcentral. Lineage: Eukaryota; Metazoa; Chordata; Mammalia; Primates; Hominidae.
AGUGUACCAGGCAUUGCUCUAACCGUUUUACACAUUUACAUGCUAUAACUCCAAAAUUAUCGUUACCCCCUUUUACGAAUGAAGAGACUAAGACCUAGAAAUGUGAAGUACAUUUACCUGAACUCAUCACCUUCCCACCCCCAUCCCAUCGACUCUGUGCUGUAUCCUGAACCGGCUGACAGAACAAUGAUGUAGACUUGACUUGUUUUCGCCAACCUGGAAUGAAGCAAAGCUCUUGUGCACCCAAGAUCUGCUCUCUGUUGUAAAUCCUGUUCAGACCUGGUCUAAUUGGUUUGAAUAAAUAAAGAACCGGAAUCUUUCUCAUCCAAACUAGUUGCCAGCAUAUUUUUAAGGCCACCUCCCUUCAAAUUUAAAAGGAAGUGUUGAAUGUACUGUCACUAUAAAUUAAAAGCCCUGGAAAUUCACACGCAAGGAGGCAUUCUUUCUCCCAGGGGCACAAAAUUGUUUAAAAUUUGCAGAUAGGGUUAUUAAACACGAAGAUCCUUUUGCUAAAAAAAAAA